Molecule: unclassified non-coding RNA, 498 nt
Filed under: uncultured Scutellospora
Lineage: Eukaryota; Fungi; Glomeromycota; Glomeromycetes; Diversisporales; Gigasporaceae
Description: SSU rRNA
Rfam family: Eukaryotic small subunit ribosomal RNA
Source: RNAcentral
CCAAUAGCGUAUAUUAAAGUUGUUGCAGUUAAAAAGCUCGUAGUUGAAUUUCGGGGUUCUUCCGUUGGUCAGGCUAACAAGUCUGUACUAGCGUGUAGAAUCUCUACCUUCUGGGGAACCAUCAUGUUAUUAAUUUAGCGUGGUGGGAAACCAGGACCUUUACCUUGAAAAAAUUAGAGUGUUCAAAGCAGGCUUACGUCUGAAUACAUUAGCAUGGAAUAAUAAAAUAGGACGGUGGUCCUGGUUUGUUGGUUUCUGAAUCACCGUAAUGAUUAAUAGGGAUAGUUGGGGGCAUUAGUAUUCAAUUGUCAGAGGUGAAAUUCUUGGAUUUAUUGAAGACUAACUUCUGCGAAAGCAUUUGCCAAGGAUGUUUUCAUUAAUCAAGAACGAAAGUUAGGGGAUCGAAGACGAUCAGAUACCGUCGUAGUCUUAACCAUAAACUAUGCCGACUAGGGAUCGGACGAUGUUAAAUUUUAUUGACUCGUUCGGCGCCUUACG